AAUAUUGGACAAUGGGCGAAAGCCUGAUCCAGCCACGCCGCGUGUAUGAAGAAGGUCUUCGGAUUGUAAAGCACUUUAAGUUGGGAGGAAGGGCUGUCGGUAAAUACCUUGCUGUUUUUGCGUUACCGACAGAAUAAGCACCGGCUAACUUCGUGCCAGCAUCCGCGGUAAGACGAAGGGUGCAAGCGUUAAUCGGAAUUACUGUACGUAAAGCACGCGUAGGUGGUUUGUUAAUGUGGAAGUGAAAGCCCCGGGCUCAAACUGGGAACUGCUUUCAAAACUGGCAGGCUAGAGUAGUGCAGAGGGUGGUGGAAUUUCCUGUGUAGCGGUGAAAUGCGUAGAUCUAGGAAGGAACACCAGUGGCGAAGGCGACCACCUGGGCUAAUACUGACACUGAGGUGCGAAAGCGUGGGGAGCAAACA
Molecule: ribosomal RNA, 422 nt
Filed under: uncultured bacterium
Lineage: Bacteria
Description: partial 16S ribosomal RNA
Rfam family: Bacterial small subunit ribosomal RNA
Source: RNAcentral